Molecule: long non-coding RNA, 1436 nt
Organism: Falco peregrinus (peregrine falcon)
Lineage: Eukaryota; Metazoa; Chordata; Aves; Falconiformes; Falconidae
Exons: 6
Source: RefSeq, a predicted model, not a curated record
UGACCUGCCAGUCACACUCCUUGUGAUGCAGCCCAGGAUAUAUGGCCGGCUUUCCGGGCUGCAAGCAUACACUGCUGGGCCAUGUUGAGCUUCUCAUCCAUAACCCAGGAUUUCUGUUCUUGUUCUUUCCUUUUUCUUCAACAUCCUUUGAACUGACUUUUUACUUUUAAUUUGUGGAGUGAAUUUUAAAAGACUUGACUUAAAUGUUCAAAAGGUAAGAAUACCCGGACUUUUGAAGGUUGCAUACAAGAACAGGAGUUUUUAAAGUUGUUUUUUAACUAUUUUUGGCCAAAACAGAGGACCCUAAAUGCAUAAAACAGUAGAGGAAAAAUGUUAAGACUUUGACAGUAUCAGUUUAGGCUCCGCAUUAAUCUUGGGCAAAGGCAUAAACUACCUAUAACUGAAUCUUACCAACCACUCCUAAUAUACACCACUCGCUAUAAAUAAGUAACAAUCUGCUCAGUUUCUGACAGAACACUCUACUGAGUCUGGAGAUCUCCUUCCAGUUCUGAUAGUGACAUUCUGUUUGACCUGAGGUAGGUUUACUUUCCUGCAGUUCUGAAUCCUUGUCUUCCUCAAUGAAAAUGAGUUGUGGCUGUCAUCUUCCUUCUUGGAUGUGUGGAGUGGGGAUUUCUCUGAUGAAAAGUACUAUGAGAUAAUUAAAUGUGGGUGUUGUUUUUUUUUUUUAAUAGGACAAUGAAUGAAACAAUUAACUACUCUUAGAAAACAAUAAGAAUUUGCUGGUGGUUUAGAAAGGCCUUCAAAACUGAAGAUAGCUACCAAGACACAAAAGUCCCUGGUCCACUCUGCUGGCUUUUAUAUGUGUCAUGAGAAACAGGAGAAAUACUACACAGCAAACUAAAAGUGUCCUAAAUAAAGUGAUGCAUAACGCCAACAGAAUCAUGCGCUUCUAUCAGUGAUCUGCAGAACAUGGGGAAGUGGCCUGCUGCGUGGGUGCUGCAAGGGAGGCAAAUUAAUGGGUGUCCGACAGUGCUGAUAAUCCUGACAGCAGACACUGAAGGAACUAAACUGGGAAAUGAUAUUCAGCCCUUGUGCUCAAAAGAGGUUCAUCCACAGUCUGUAUGCCACACUUCAUCCAUUCAUCUCAGUAGAUAUGACAAAGGAACUGGAAAUCCUUCAUAUUCAAGACGCAGCUGAGGAUCCAAGAAGGCAGCUUGCCAGCAAGUCAAAUAGGAAAGCUCAUCUGUCAAAAAAACUUGCUGAAGUCAUUCUGACAGAGAGCUCCCUUGGCCUGCACACCUGAUCUCAGGCAAGUCACGCAAACUUUCUAAACAGGUAUUGCUUAUCUUGAUCUGUAUAUGAUUCUGUAUAUGUUUUGUACCACUGUACAGCAUUAGAGAUACAUACAUGGUUAUUAAAGGCACACUAUCAGUAUAUGCUACCAUUGCCAUUUGCAACUUUAUUGCCUUACCAUU